AAGAAGAAAGCUUCUACAGCAUUAUGGUUUCGACCCAUAAAAUGAACUACCUAGUUCUCUUCUUUC
RNAcentral lists this transfer RNA (66 nucleotides) under Tchangsinaia piscicula. RNAcentral describes it as "tRNA-Arg". Lineage: Eukaryota; Metazoa; Mollusca; Bivalvia; Unionida; Unionidae. The record is from RNAcentral.